AGAUCUAAUAGUUAGAUCUAGAAUUUCAGCAUCGAUGAGAUUGAUAUAAUUUUUAUUUUCAGAUCUAAAGUAUAUAUUUUUAUAUUAAAGAUCCUGAUAUGAUAGUUUAAGAUAGCAUCUUAUACACGUGAUUAGAAUUAAAUCAUUUAAUUUAUUAUUUUUAUUGUACAAAAUUUUAAAAUUGCAUGUACUACACUACCGUAUAUUUUUUUCAACUGGUAUC
Molecule: long non-coding RNA, 223 nt
Filed under: Elaeis guineensis (African oil palm)
Lineage: Eukaryota; Viridiplantae; Streptophyta; Magnoliopsida; Arecales; Arecaceae
Description: long non-coding RNA (EGUI_LNC074289)
Source: RNAcentral